This 279-nucleotide ribosomal RNA is filed under the name uncultured bacterium. RNAcentral describes it as "partial 16S ribosomal RNA". It matches the Rfam family "Bacterial small subunit ribosomal RNA", at positions 506 to 784 of the family's 1533-position model. The record is from RNAcentral.
UGCCAGCAGCCGCGGUAAUACGUAGGGGGCGAGCGUUGUCCGGAUUUAUUGGGCGUAAAGCGUGCGCAGGCAGUUUUAUAAGUCAGAUGUGAAAUCCCCGAGCUCAACUUGGGAACUGCGUUUGAAACUGUAAGACUAGAGUGUGUCAGAGGGGGGUAGAAUUCCAAGUGUAGCAGUGAAAUGCGUAGAGAUUUGGAGGAAUACCAAUGGCGAAGGCAGCCCCCUGGGAUAACACUGACGCUCAUGCACGAAAGCGUGGGGAGCAAACAGGAUUAGAUA